CACAAAGCAUUAACUUAGCCCAUUCAACUUAGCAAACUCCAAGCCCAUUCAAUUUUAAUUUACUCAAAAAUUCCAUGGAGGAAUUAGA
Non-coding RNA from Sturnus vulgaris (Common starling), 88 nucleotides. Lineage: Eukaryota; Metazoa; Chordata; Aves; Passeriformes; Sturnidae. The record is from RefSeq and is a predicted model, not a curated record.